RNAcentral lists this ribosomal RNA (254 nucleotides) under uncultured bacterium. RNAcentral's name for it is "partial 16S ribosomal RNA". It matches the Rfam family "Bacterial small subunit ribosomal RNA", at positions 524 to 776 of the family's 1533-position model. The record is from RNAcentral.
UACGGAGGGGGCUAGCGUUGUUCGGAAUUACUGGGCGUAAAGCGCACGUAGGCGGGCUGUUAAGUCGGGGGUGAAAUCCUGGGGCUCAACCUCAGAAUUGCCUUCGAUACUGGCAGUCUUCGAGUACGGGAGAGGUGAGUGGAAUUCCCAGUGUAGAGGUGAAAUUCGUAGAUAUUGGGAAGAACACCAGUGGCGAAGGCGGCUCACUGGCCCGUAACUGACGCUGAGGUGCGAAAGCGUGGGGAGCAAACAGG